CCCACUUCCCCUAAGUGGAAACUGAGGCACUGGAGGAACAGCUUCUGAGAUAGCCCAGGAAAAGAAGCACAGAGAUUUCCCACAAACCUGUAUCCUGGCAGGGCAGCUGAGAGGACCCACACUGAACCUUGCAUCCAGGUGGAGGGAAGGGACCGCAGCUGGUGAUGGAAGAUGGGGGUGGGAUGGCUUUUGAUUCCAGAGUAGGUGUAGGAGGCAUCACUGGGGAUGUGGCAGCUGCAUGGGACCUACAAGUAGAAAUCACAAAAACAAAAUAGUGAAAAAGAAGAGCAUUCUGGAUGGAGUCAUGAGGACGUGGUGUGCUGUACAGGUGGGAAACAAAGCAAGAGGGGACAUGCGAACUGCAGGCCACCCCGAGCCCCUCCUCCGAGUGGGACAUGGGCAAAGCACUUCAAAGAAUCCACUCACUUCAAGUGAGCACUUUCUAAAGUAAGCCCUGUUACAAGCGUCAUUUUGCAACAGAAGUAACAGAGGUACCCACGGGGUGUUGCAUGCAUCUGGCUGGUGACAGAGCUCACAAGCCUGCAACGUGUUUUUGGGUAAUUGGUAAGAAGGGAGAGAAAAAGGACGGGAGGAAGGAGAGGGGAGCAGAGGGAAAGGGAAAAAGCAGGCCGGGGGCAGUCCUGGGGCCUCGGGGUGUUUAGUUCCCAUCCUGCUCUGCCUUAGCCUGGACCAAGCUGGUUGUAGGCAUCUUUAGUUCUUGGUUCUUUGAGGGGGACACUUGAGAAGUUUUUAACAAAUUGCAGGGUCUAAAAAGAUUCACUUGAGUCAAGACAGUCUCCCUUCCUCAGUCCUUUCCUAGCUCUGAUCCUGGUGUUUGAAGUUUUCUCAAAUCCUUCAAAGAAAGAAAACCCUCUCUUCACCUGGCAUUGUUGGCUACUGAGAGGAAAUUUAGCCCAGGUGGUUGUAGGGGGAGCGUUACUCCUGGUCCUCCUGGUCCUAGGCUCAUCCUGCAGCCCUGGGGGUUUGCCCUGCAGGGCGCCUUCUACCCAGACUUGUGCGUCAGUGUGUGUGUGUAGCAUAAUUUAAAUGAGAAGAGUUUCCUUUGCUGGAAUGUUCACUACCAGGGAGCUUGGUGGGAAAGAAGCUGCCAGGAAAUGCCUGCUUGAUCACUGCUUUCUCGAGGUUAUUAAGAAAACUAACGGGAGCAACUUGCAUAGUCCUGCAGCGUUGGAAGCUCUCCAUAAAUAGUGGCCAAAAAUGAAGUCUGUUUUGUGGUUACAAGAAGCCAGAUCUCUCUGCUAUGAACUCCCUACAGUCCUCGCCUGUGUACACUGGUCAAGGUUGUGCACAGUACCACACUGCAGAUUUAUGUUCUGUUACACAUUACCUGACUGCAUGUAAAAAUUGUGAGAAUAAAAUUGAAAUCAUUAA
Long non-coding RNA from Cavia porcellus (domestic guinea pig), 1392 nucleotides. RefSeq lists it as uncharacterized. The transcript is spliced from 3 exons. Lineage: Eukaryota; Metazoa; Chordata; Mammalia; Rodentia; Caviidae. The record is from RefSeq and is a predicted model, not a curated record.